Molecule: long non-coding RNA, 2229 nt
Organism: Trachemys scripta elegans
Lineage: Eukaryota; Metazoa; Chordata; Testudines; Emydidae
Exons: 2
Source: RefSeq, a predicted model, not a curated record
AGUCUCUAAGGUGCCACAAGUACUCCUGUUCUUUUUGUGGAUACAGACUAACACGGCUGCUACUCUGAAACAAAGGACUUGGGAAUUUUACCAGACUCCUAACAGCCAAGUGGCUAAACAUACCAGACAGGGGCAGUGCCCAGGUGAGAUGUCCUUCCUUCCUAACCCUCCAUCUCUCUUAAGGUGUUGGGAAAUGGGAAGGUGCUGAGAUUCCUAUCCUGAUGCUCUUCUGGUACCCUCCUCAAAGUGUCAUCUUUUAGAUCAGUCUUCAGCUAGUACUUGUCCAAUAAAUUUGAAGCAGUGCCUCCCAUCGCCAACCAAAUCAUCCUGGCUGUUAGAAGGGAGAAGGAGUAUUCGCUGUGUUCCCUCUAUAUGUCUUAUCUAGAUAUUUGAGCAACUUUAUAAGGGCCUCAUAAUGUAGUAUCUGAGCCCCUUACAAUCUUUAACAAAUGUAAUGUAUUUAUCCUCACAAUGCCCCUGUGAGGCAGGGAAGAACAGGAAAACUGAGCAGCAGCAGAUUGAACUGUCCGUCUGCUGAUGGAUUAAACAGACACAACUCGUCUACCUGGGGGUUUUAAACCAGUUCAAGUUGAGUUAAUCUGGUUCUAUAAUGCUAGCAUACACGUGACGCAACGCAUCCCCGUGCAUUAACUCCACGCUUACAGCAAAACUCUGGAGUCCUCUAGCAAAGUGGACUAAGUUUGCUACAAAUUGAUUUAGUUAGAUCUGUUGUUUGUGUGUAUGCACUGCUCCAACAGCUAUCCCUCAGUGCUUUGAAGUCAACCAUUACUGGCCUGUCUAUGUACCUGUGUGCAUCCCCUGCCCUGGUGUCAAGAUCCCAGGACAGACCCGCCCUGUAGGUAUGAGACCAGCUUUUGCCCAUUUGCUCCUGGGCUCGAGUGUAUCAGUAUUCUUGCAGUACUAUAACAAUUCCACUCCACGGUCCCCACAACUUGCCUUGUGCUACUGCUUGGAGCCACAUUGAGACCCUGCAUCUCAUUGCCAUCUGGGAGAAGAGUCAGUGCAGGAAGCUCUUUUGGUCACAUCAGGAUGAAGAACAGUUUGUGGGUGUCGUGAAGCAGAUGUCCACAAAGAGUCAUGAUCGGGACACCAAGCUGUGCUGGAGAAAGAGCAUGCAGCUCAGGAGGGCCUACCUUAAGAUGAGGGAUGCAAGGAAGACAUCCACCAGGAGACAUGUAACCUCUCCAUUUUACAAAGAACUGGACAGACCAGCAAACACUUUUGGAUCUUGCUGCCAGCCCUUUUCCAACUGCCAAAGGGCAACCAGGAAGAUGAGUGGGAUGAGGGCAAAGAGCUGUCCCCUGAGAGCCAGGUGAAAAUCAACCCAGUUCCUGCCCUGCAGCUGUAGAGCCCAAUUCCUGCCCUCUAUCAGCUGAGCCCAAGUCCCCGCCAGUAACCCAGGCCGGGACCAGAGAGACAUCCUCUGGAGGGAACUUCGGCAUCCAUGGCACCUGCAAUGGUCAGACCGCCAAGGAGAGGGCCUCUGUCAAUGGCAGAGUGCCUGGCCAACCUGAGGGGGCAUAAAAGGAAGACUUGGGACAAGAUGUUUGCACAGCUUAUAGCAGAGUCCCGAAGAAAAAUUCAAGAUUUGUGAAAGGUGGAGGUAGUAUCUGAGGAGCCAAAGGGAGAAAAAAAUGGAGCUGUCAAACAAGACAUUGUCAGUGGCCAUGGACAACAUCACAGUCACCAGGGAAAGCAUUGCCAUAACCAAGGAGAGCUUGGAAAAGGACAGGGAAAUGCAGAGGCAGUUCAGAGAGACUAUAUUAAGCCAAAAAAUGCUGCUUCAUCGUAUGGUGGUGCUAGGACAGCAGGUGCUGCACGUUCUUCAGCCCCUGGACAAUACAAGUUAUUGGGGCCACCUGCAACUCCACCCUGCUCCAGCCCCCUGGAGCAGUGUUCCCAGAAGCCAUGCCCCUUGCAGAGGUCAACCUCUGAGCACAGAGAAAAAAUGCAUCUGAGAGCCCAGCUCUUUUGAGUCCUUCAGUGCCCCUGAUAACUUUGAGCCACGGCACUCAAUCCCAGAAAUCCCACGAACAGGAAGAGAUGGAAGCAAGGCGUAUACUUGCCUGUAACUUUAAGCCCCUCCGCCCCGCCAACUGUUCUGCACUGCAAUGCACUUUCAGUGUUGGCUGUACUGUUAUUUUGUUUAAUAUAUUUUCGAUUAAAAGCUGCUGUAGUAUUGCAUCAGUAAAAACUUAAUUUUUGGUU